AAACCAUGACUGGGGCACUUCCUAAGCAACUCUUUGAACCUUUCUCAUCCCUCGUGAAAGUUUUUAGACUUAGCUUGCUAGUAGGUUGAGAUCUCAUGUUUGAGCUU
This is a small nucleolar RNA of Diospyros lotus (date-plum), 107 nucleotides long. NCBI's taxonomy places the organism in Eukaryota, Viridiplantae, Streptophyta, Magnoliopsida, Ericales, Ebenaceae. The record is from RefSeq and is a predicted model, not a curated record.